CCCGCACAAGCGGAGGAACAUGUGGUUUAAUUCGAUGAUACGCGAGGACUUACCUGGGCUUAAAUGGGGAGUGACAGCUGUCGAAAGAUGGUUUUCUUCGGACACUCUUCAAGGUGCUGCAUGGUUGUCGUCAGCUCGUGCCGUGAGGUGUCGGGUUAAGUCCCAUAACGAGCGCAACCCUUACCGUUAGUUACCAUCAGGUUAAGCUGGGGACUCUAGCGGGACUGCCACCGUAAGGUGAGAGGAAGUGGGGAUGACGUCAAAUCAGCACGGCCCUUAUGUCCAGGGCUACACACGUGUUACAAUGGCCAGUACAAAGGGCAGCUACCGGGUGACCGGAUGCUAAUCUCUAAAGCUGGUCUCAGUUCGGAUCGAAGUCUGCAACCCGACUUCGUGAAGCUGGAUUCGCUAGUAAUCGCGCAUCAGCCAUGGCGCGGUGAAUACGUUCCCGGGCCUU
RNAcentral lists this ribosomal RNA (457 nucleotides) under uncultured Sphingobacteriales bacterium. RNAcentral describes it as "bacterial SSU rRNA". It matches the Rfam family "Bacterial small subunit ribosomal RNA", at positions 920 to 1382 of the family's 1533-position model. The record is from RNAcentral. Lineage: Bacteria; Pseudomonadati; Bacteroidota; Sphingobacteriia; Sphingobacteriales.